GAUGAAGAACGCAGCGAAAUGCGAUAAGUAAUGUGAAUUGCAGAAUUCAGUGAAUCAUCGAAUCUUUGAACGCACAUUGCGCCCGCCAGUAUUCUGGCGGGCAUGCCUGUUCGAGCGUCAUUUCAACCCCCAGGCCCCCAGUGCCUGGUGUUGGGGAUCGGCCCAGCCUUCCUGUAAGGCCGCCGGCCCCGAAAUCUAGUGGCGGUCUCGCUGUAGUCCUCCUCUGCGUAGUAGCACAACCUCGCAGUUGGAACGCGGCGGUGGCCAUGCCGUUAAACACCCCACUUCUGAAAGUUGACCUCGGAUCAGGUAGGAAUACCCGCUGAACUUAAGCAUAUCAAUAAGCGGAGGA
RNAcentral lists this unclassified non-coding RNA (352 nucleotides) under soil metagenome. RNAcentral describes it as "partial contains 5.8S ribosomal RNA, internal transcribed spacer 2, and large subunit ribosomal RNA". The stretch from base 1 to 120 matches the Rfam family "5.8S ribosomal RNA", at positions 35 to 154 of the family's 154-position model. The record is from RNAcentral.